UAGAAAUAGCCUAAGCUACUCUAUCCCUUUGAGAUGUAUUUAUUGCUUAUCUCAAUAAACAUACUUGAACUUGAACCUAACCUAACCUAGUCUAACCUAACCUUAUAAUGUGCAUUGGACUUACACCCAUUCUCUAACACUCCUCAGGUAUAACAAGCCUAUAAGCAUGCAAGAAUUAGAUGUCCGCGAGCCCCUCUUCCCUAGAACCUCCCUGACCACCAGGACCUCAUCCCUCCAUCCUUCCCGGAAAGAUAUUUUUCUUAACUUGUCAACCAACAGGCUGUCGUUACCACUCAAGGACCCACGUUAAACAACUUAUAUUGUAUACCUGCAUUCUCUUUCUUCUGUACUGACGUCAUUGUGGCAUAACGAGAAAGCAGACGGGGAGUUUCCCUAUCGCCGGCCGGCUUAUAAGUAGUUAAGGCUGGCUCUGCCCGCCACCUCACACUUCUGGAGGCUGUUUACCUGAGAGAGGAGAAAACCCGCUCGUCUCUCUCACCUCACCCCGCUCCUGUCCCAGAACCGUCUACAGCCCGGGAACGUAACCGAGCGGCCGGCCUGGAGCCCUACUCUCACACUGUCACCACAACCGCCCCACCUGGAGCUGACGGUAUCAUCUCUGUUACCUGUGCUCGCUUCUGGAGGAAGUCAAUCAUCGCCCAGCUUAGUCACCCUGUUGCGUCAUCCAGUCACGUGUGCGCCUGGCCGGGCGCCCGCUCCUGCAGGAGGCGUUGUUGGUGUCGGCUGGGCGACGCCCUUGACGGUAUACAUGGGGGGCUUCCCAUAAUGGUGUAUUAAUUAGUUUUCAUGACGUGUUGCAGUUUGGAUGUAUUCUACCACACACAUUUCCACCGUGACAAAUAAGUAUUCAUUUUGUCUUGUUCCCGCCAAAAUAUUGGCAUGGUGGUUAUUUUUACGUGACUUGUAAAUUAGUUUUACAAUUAAAAGUACAUAAUUUUUG
Molecule: long non-coding RNA, 961 nt
Organism: Procambarus clarkii (red swamp crayfish)
Lineage: Eukaryota; Metazoa; Arthropoda; Malacostraca; Decapoda; Cambaridae
Source: RefSeq, a predicted model, not a curated record